CCUACGGGAGGCAGCAGUGAGGAAUAUUGGUCAAUGGGCGGGAGCCUGAACCAGCCAAGUCGCGUGAGGGAAGACGGUCCUAUGGAUUGUAACCCUCUUUAGGCGGGGAGCAAUGCCGGGCACGUGUGCCCGGAGGGAGAGUACCCGCAGACUAAGCAUCGGCUAACUCCGUUCCAGCAGCCGCGGUAAUACGGAGGAUUCGAGCGUUAUACGGCUGUAUUGGGUUUAAAGGGUGCGUAGGCGGAUUUUUAAGUCAGCGGUAAAAUGUCCGGGCUCAACCCGGGCCGGCCGUUGAAACGGGGGAUCUUGAGUGGGCGAGAAGUAUGCGGAAUGCGUGGUGUAGCGGUGAAAUGAAUAGAUAUCACGCAGAACUCCGAUUGCGAAGGCAGCAUACCGGCGCCCGACUGACGCUGAGGCACGAAAGCGUGGGGAUCGAACAGGAUUAGAUACCCGGGUAGUC
This 460-nucleotide ribosomal RNA is filed under the name uncultured bacterium. RNAcentral describes it as "partial 16S ribosomal RNA". It matches the Rfam family "Bacterial small subunit ribosomal RNA", at positions 338 to 795 of the family's 1533-position model. The record is from RNAcentral.